AAUUUUGUUUCCAACUCUUUGUUCCCUCGUUUCACAACCAACAAAGGCAGUCCUCUUUCCUCUUUGUGCCACUGUCGAUCUACCAUCUCAGUGCUGAUUUAUAGAAAGGUGAUUGUGAUCUACCCUCAAUUUCUUAAUUCCACAAAAAAAAUUGCAAAAGAGGGCAAAGCCCAAUCUAAUUCUUCAGUCGCAAUCUGUAGUUAAGAUUCUGAAUGAAAAUUUUGCAAUCUUCCUUCUUUCUUUCUUUCUUUCUUUUUUUUUUCUUUCUCACCCUCUCAUGUUCUGAAUGAAAAUUUUGUAUUAGAAAUUUGGGCUAGGGUUUGGUUUUAGAGGAGGUGGAGGAAUAAGAAUAAGGUUACAGAGGCGGCGGCAGCAAUGGAGAUUAGCACAUCAAAUAAGAGGUAAGUUAUAUUUACUUGUCAAAAUUCAUAAAAUUUAAGUAAGUAAUGGAUGAUUAAUGUGUAAAUUGGUUGUGGGAGGGUGAUUGUGAUGGGGAAUCAUGAAGGAUUUCGGAGUAUAAGGUGGAUUAUGUAUGGAGAUGGUGUGUUUAGAUUCUUGAAUUUCAUGAAAUUAAGGUUUCAAAGCAUACACACCAUGUAUUUGUUAAAAUGCCUAAGUGAAGAUAUGCAUUCGGUGAUAUAAGUUUGAGACACCCGAGCACUAUAAAGACCCUACACAAAAGUUUCUUGGCAAGGGCGAUGGGUUUUUGGCUGAUUAUUGCCCUGAUCAAAAGAAAGCAAAUGACACUAGUGAUUAUUUGUGGUUCAUGACUAGGUAUGAAUGAUAAACUAUUUUUUCUUUGUAAUUGUUAGGUCUUAUAAUUAAUAUAUAGUUAAUUUUUUUUUGAAAUAUUUUAUAACCAGUAUUCAAGAUCUGGGGUGGUGAUAUUACUCUACAUGUUCAUAUUGAUGGACCUGUACUUCAUUUAUUUGUUAAUGGGAAGCACAUUGGUAUGCUAAAAAUUUAUUUCUAUUUUUCUUAAAUUAUUGGUUGCGACAACAAUGAAAUGAAUAUACUCGCAGGAACUAAUUGGGGGUAAAAAUGGGAAAUAUGAGUUCGUAUUUGAGCAUCUUGUAAACUUGAAGCCUAGGAAGAAGAAUUUAAUAUCAUUACUCAGCGUCGGUGUUGGGUUGCAAGUAGGAAUUACAAGUUUAUUAUUUAGUAGUAUGAUUUAAUUUCAAUUUUUGCACUAGUAUUAUUAUUAUUUAAUGUUAAUGUUAUUUUGACUAGAACUACGGAACAUAUUUUGACGAAGCAAGGAAUGGAAUUCAUGGUCCUGUUAGAGUACUUUCCCCUUACAGAGAAAUAGUUGACCAAGAGAAUGGCCGCCAUCUGGAGACACCUGAUGGUAAAGUUUCUUAUGCAGAGGAUUAUUUCUUGGAGAA
RNAcentral lists this long non-coding RNA (1385 nucleotides) under Panax ginseng (ginseng). Its description in RNAcentral is "long non-coding RNA (PGIN_LNC007766)". Lineage: Eukaryota; Viridiplantae; Streptophyta; Magnoliopsida; Apiales; Araliaceae. The record is from RNAcentral.